Molecule: ribosomal RNA, 200 nt
Filed under: uncultured prokaryote
Description: partial 16S ribosomal RNA
Rfam family: Bacterial small subunit ribosomal RNA
Source: RNAcentral
ACGUCAAAUCAUCAUGCCCCUUAUGACCUGGGCUACACACGUACUACAAUGGCGGUUAACAACGGGAAGCGAAAGCGCGAGCUGGAGCAAAUCCCAAAACCGUCUCAGUUCGGAUCGCAGGCUGCAACCCGCCUGCGUGAAGUCGGAAUUGCUAGUAAUCGCGGAUCAGCCAAGCCGCGGUGAAUACGUUCCCGGGCCUU